RNAcentral lists this ribosomal RNA (497 nucleotides) under uncultured bacterium. RNAcentral describes it as "partial 16S ribosomal RNA". It matches the Rfam family "Bacterial small subunit ribosomal RNA", at positions 29 to 507 of the family's 1533-position model. The record is from RNAcentral.
ACGAACGCUGGCGGCGUGCCUAAUACCUGCAAGUCGAGCGGACGAAUCGAAAGCUUGCUUUUGAUUCGUUAGCGGCGGACGGGUGAGUAACACGUGGGCAACCUGCCCUGUAGACGGGGAUAACACCGAGAAAUCGGUGCUAAUACCGGAUAACACGAAAUGUCGCAUGACGUUUCGUUGAAAGACGGCGCAAGCUGUCGCUACAGGAUGGGCCCGCGGCGCAUUAGCUAGUUGGUGAGGUAACGGCUCACCAAGGCGACGAUGCGUAGCCGACCUGAGAGGGUGAUCGGCCACACUGGGACUGAGACACGGCCCAGACUCCUACGGGAGGCAGCAGUAGGGAAUCUUCCGCAAUGGACGAAAGUCUGACGGAGCAACGCCGCGUGAGCGAAGAAGGCCUUCGGGUCGUAAAGCUCUGUUGUUAGGGAAGAACAAGUAACGCAGUAACUGGCGUUACCGUGACGGUACCUAACGAGAAAGCCACGGCUAACUACGUG